CCUACGGGAGGCAUCAGUGGGGCAGCAGUGGCAAUUGUUGAACACCGGACGGAACCAGGCCGGAUCGAGGAAGAAGGCUGGAGGAAGGUUAACCCCUUGUAUCUGGGAUGAAUCUUGGGAGAGCACACUGACGGUACCAGAGGAAUCAGCAUCGGCUAACUCCGUGCCAGCAGCCGCGGUAAGACGGAGGAUGCAAGCGUUAUCCGGAAUGAUUGGGCGUAAAGCGUCCGCAGGUGGCAGUUCAAGUCUGCCGUCAAAGACCGGGGCUUAACCUCGGAAAGGCAGUGGAAACUGAACAGCUAGAGUACGGUAGGGGCAGAGGGAAUUCCCGGUGUAGCGGUGAAAUGCGUAGAGAUCAGGAAGAACAUCGGUGGCGAAGGCGCUCUGCUGGACCACAACUGACACUCAGGGACGAAAGCUAGGGGAGCGAAUGGGAUUAGAUACCCCAGUAGUCCUAGCCGUAAACGAUGGAUACUAGGUGUGUGUCUGUAUCGACCCGGACAGUGCCGUAGCUAACGCGUUAAGUUCCCGCCUGGGAGACACCCAAAUGG
This 551-nucleotide ribosomal RNA is filed under the name uncultured cyanobacterium. RNAcentral describes it as "bacterial SSU rRNA". It matches the Rfam family "Bacterial small subunit ribosomal RNA", at positions 338 to 893 of the family's 1533-position model. The record is from RNAcentral. RNAcentral also lists the same sequence under 1 other name. Lineage: Bacteria; Bacillati; Cyanobacteriota.